GGGGGUGUAGCUCAUAUGGUAGAGCGCUCGCUUUGCAUGCGAGAGGCACGGUGUUCGAUUAUCGCACCUCCA
Molecule: non-coding RNA, 72 nt
Organism: Brassica napus (rape)
Lineage: Eukaryota; Viridiplantae; Streptophyta; Magnoliopsida; Brassicales; Brassicaceae
Source: Rfam